This 30-nucleotide non-coding RNA is filed under the name Homo sapiens (human). Lineage: Eukaryota; Metazoa; Chordata; Mammalia; Primates; Hominidae. The record is from RNAcentral.
UGUUGUAAUUGAUGCCAAUAGCUGCCGGUC